UACACAUGCAGUCGUGCGAGAAAGAUCUUCGGAUAUGAGUAGAGCGGCGGACGGGUGAGUAACGCGUAGGAAUCUACCUAGUAGAAGGGGAUAGCCCGGGGAAACCCGGAUUAAUACCGUAUACCUCCUUCGGGAGAAAGAAGGCCUCUCUUUGAAGCUUUCGCUAUUAGAUGAGCCUGCGUAAGAUUAGCUUGUUGGUGAGGUAAAGGCUCACCAAGGCGACGAUCUUUAGCUGGUCUGAGAGGACGAUCAGCCACAUUGGGACUGAGACACGGCCCAGACUCCUACGGGAGGCAGCAGUGGGGAAUAUUGGACAAUGGGCGCAAGCCUGAUCCAGCCAUACCGCGUGUGUGAAGAAGGCCUUCGGGUUGUAAAGCACUUUAAGCAGGGAGAAAAAGUUAUAAGUUAAUACCUUAUAACCCUGAUGUUACCUGCAGAAUAAGCACCGGCUAAUUCCGUGCCAGCAGCCGCGGUAAUACGGAAGGUGCAAGCGUUAAUCGGAAUUACUGGGCGUAAAGCGCGCGUAGGUGGUUUGUUAAGUUGGAUGUGAAAGCCCUGGGCUCAACCUAGGAACUGCAUCCAAAACUAACUCACUAGAGUACGAUAGAGGGAGGUAGAAUUCAUAGUGUAGCGGUGGAAUGCGUAGAUAUUAUGAAGAAUACCAGUGGCGAAGGCGGCCUCCUGGAUCUGUACUGACACUGAGGUG
Molecule: ribosomal RNA, 706 nt
Filed under: uncultured marine bacterium
Lineage: Bacteria
Description: bacterial SSU rRNA
Rfam family: Bacterial small subunit ribosomal RNA
Source: RNAcentral